Molecule: ribosomal RNA, 426 nt
Filed under: uncultured bacterium
Lineage: Bacteria
Description: partial 16S ribosomal RNA
Rfam family: Bacterial small subunit ribosomal RNA
Source: RNAcentral
GUUAGGAAUCUUCCACAAUGGGGGCAACCCUGAUGGAGCAACACCGCGUGCUGGAUGAAGGCCUUCGGGUCGUAAACAGCUUUUGUAUACGAAGAAUAUGACGGUAAUAUACGAAUAAGGGUCGGCUAACUACGUGCCAGCAGCCGCGGUCAUACGUAGGACCCAAGCGUUAUCCGGAGUGACUGGGCGUAAAGCGUUGCGUAGGCGGCUUAUUAAGCGAGUAGUGAAAUCUGGUGGCUCAACCAUCAACACAUUGCUCGAACUGAUAGGCUUGAGAAUGGUAGAGGUAGUUGGAAUUUCUUGUGUAGGAGUGAAAUCCGUAGAUAUAAGAAGGAACACCAAUGGCGUAGGCAGACUACUGGACCAUUUCUGACGCUGAGGCACGAAAGCGUGGGGAGCGAACCGGAUUAGAAACCCUUGUAGUCC